This 377-nucleotide ribosomal RNA is filed under the name Gibbaranea occidentalis. RNAcentral's name for it is "partial 16S ribosomal RNA". It matches the Rfam family "Bacterial large subunit ribosomal RNA", at positions 1932 to 2582 of the family's 2925-position model. The record is from RNAcentral. Lineage: Eukaryota; Metazoa; Arthropoda; Arachnida; Araneae; Araneidae.
UGCGGAAAUUUAACCGUGCUAAGGUAGCAUAAUCAUUAGCCUCUUAAUUAGAGACUCGUAUGAACGGUGAAACAUUUCAAUUACUUUAUUAAUUAACUUUAUCAAAUUUAAACCAAGAAUAAAAAUGUUCUUAUAAAUUAAUUAGACGACAAGACCCUUUUGAACUUUACUAUUGUUUAGCUGGGGUAGCUAUAAAAUAUUAAUCUUCUUAACUUUAUUUAUAUAAAUGACCCAAUUCAAUUGAUUAUUUGAACAAGUUACCAUAGGGAUAACAGCGUAAUAUUUUUUAAAAGUUCUUAUUUAAAAAAAUGAUUGCGACCUCGAUGUUGAAUUAAUGUAACUUUAUUGAUGAAGUAAUCAUAAAAGUUGGUCUGUUC